UGAAAUGAGUAAAAGGUGAAGUUUGAUGAUAAUGAGCUAGGGGAGAUUCUAAGGAUACAUGUUGAAGGCUACAUAAGCAACAUGUCAUAUGUUUCACAUGAAUAUGUAACUUGAGUAACCUCUACUUCCUAAGCAGCCUUCAUUGAACAACCAACCAUACUAUAUAUAAAUACUAGAUAUCCCGUGCAUGUGUUGUGCACGGGCCUAACACGACCAUAAGCCUAACACCACUGCACAAAAUAGGUCCGAGAGUAAGAAAGAUAAUUUCAUACUUGUGUAGUAAGAUUACCCCCGAAAAAUAAAAUGACGAAGCAAUACCAUCCGUUGACUAAAUAUUACAACAUAAUACACCACAUUCAUUUGUUUAGCUUCAUUAGUCCAAUUGCAUUUUUAGCUUGCUUCUAUGAGAAUGAGAAAGAUAAAAACAAUCAGAUAAAUCGUGUUCAUGUUGGUAGUCCCACUAAUACAAAAUAUUGGAUAAAAUUUGGACAGUUGCAGUUGACAACAAAUACUUCAUCUUAUAUCCACCUAAAGAAAAGAAAAUCAAGCAUUAGUAUUAUUGGUAAGACUUACAUAUGGUAGUAUAACAAUCAUAAAAUUCAGCUAGUUUGCAUAUUCAGCAAAACAAUCAUAAAUUCAUUAAUUUUGGAGGAAAAAGAGGGGCAUAAAAUAUCAGCAUGGACUAAGAGGAGAAAGAAAAGAUUCAGACACGGUAGACCUAUUGAAAUGCCCCCAUCAAAGGCAUGUUCUAAAUCUGAAUUGGGUCUCUUCUUUUUAGCAAUCUAUAGCUAGGCAUUAAAUAAUGAUUUACAACCUUGGAGGACCUAUUUAGGGAUAUGAACCUUUAACCUAUUUCAUUGGAGGAGACUAUCUUCAUUGAUUUUGGUAUUGAUGUAAUAACUGAAAAGUGAUACACACCAAAUUUAAAAUAGAAAAUCUGCAAUAGAAGCACUACCAGUAAAUCACAAUUCACAACCAUACUCGCAUAUUCUGUGACUUAGGAGAGAUCAUGUAGUGGUAUUUCUAUUUCAAUCACCUGACCCUACUCUAUUCAUGAGAACAACUGCUAUCUAUGUUGAAUGAAUGCGUCCAGGUUACUACAAAAAUUUCUAGACAAAUUCUAACUUCUGCAAAUACUACUUCAAUUGCCUUAUUUCUAUUAUAUACUUACAAGCAACGACCAUCUCAUCAUGACCAUCUAUCGAAGAGAUGCACCAAAAAGAUCUGAAAAACAUAAAGCAGAUAAACGAACCUUCAAAAUAUAAGUUUUGAGUAGUAUUUAAACACAUGUUAAAGGAUACAAUGAAAAGAAGCAUAUUGCCAACGACAAGUCUGUUUUUUCAUUUCCUUGCAAAACUUACUAAUGACAAACUAAGUGAAUGUGUGGGCUAAAGAUGUUGCAACCUGAUCAUUCUAGAUAUGUCCAUGUUAUUGUCCUUGGUGGGGCUUCAGUGAGAGUUCAUCAUUUAUAAUUUGCUGCUUUUGAGGCUAGUGAAAAAUAUUCAACAUGUUGUGCGAGAGAUUUGGAAACAACAGUUAUCACUUAUCACAUGCCAUCAGUUCUUGCUCGAUCCUUAUCUAUAUGAAAUAAAGCGUGCGUCUAUACCGAUAAGUAGAUAUUGAUUGAUCUCAACUAAUCAAGGGGAAAAUGUUUGAUAUUUUGGUCAAUUCAAAAUAUCAUAAUAAAAAUACCCCCGUACCCUGACAACUUAAAAAAAGUGAAAAGAAGAAAGGAAUGUUGAGGCUAGGAAUGAAGUGCAAAGAGAAAACUGGAGAAAUAAAACUCACAUGCAGACAUCCACUAAUCAAACAAAUCAAAUGCUCAAAAAACAAAAUCAGAGAACAUAGCUUACCAAUUAAUACAAUCGCAGCACACCAGAUUGAUCGGCAAAGGACUGUCAAUCCAACUAAAGAAGAUACUAUCAUGUGACAGAAGCAUUAUUCAAAGUUCAAACUUGCCGCAAUUAUUACUCCCACCGUUCCAGUUUAUGUAAACCUAGCUAUUUCCUUUUUGGUCCGUUCCAAAAAGAAUGACCCCUUUCUAAAUUUGGAAACAAUUUAGCUUAAACUUCCAAUUCUACCCUUAAUGAGAAGCUUUUAUAACCACACAAAUACUCUGGUCCCCAUUUUGACUUGUUUAGGACCACAAAUUCUAAAAAAGUCAUCAUUUUUUCUUAAACUCCGUGAUCAGUCAAACAUGUUCACAUAAAUUGGAACAGAGGGAGUAUUAUUGAAAAAAAUGGAAGGGAAGGAAAAGAUAAAGCUGUAAUUUUGAUUACUUUUGCUCCACGCGUAUAGUAGUCACCGGAACAUCUAUGUACAAGAUAAAAAGUCAUAAGCAAGCUGCGGUAAGGACUUUAUUUUCCUGCAAAACAAUUGUUGAUGUAUAGAAAAACAUGUUACUAAUUUAUAUGAGGGAAUCAAUUAGGAUAUUUGCGAACGAACAUUUAAACUUGUUGCUAAAUUUUUAUGUUUGAGUAGCUUAGUAACUUUUAUUCUCUGUGUAAAAGCAUAGGAGUUAGCAGGACUUCAGAAUAUGCAAGCAUUUGAACUAUCUCGGAGGAGUUGAUUGAAAUAUUUCAAGAAUUUCUCAAGGAUUAAUCUUCAUUUCCUGCACAUACUCUAGUCCCUCUCGAGAUAGUAAUUCUGGGGUUUUCACAUUAUAAAAUGACAUAAAGAUGAUCUCCGAAUGAUCUUCUUAGCUGCUACUUGAUUUUCAAAUGUAUCAACCAAAUCAGACAACCCAAUGAAUGAAAGCUCUUAAUCUUCAUUAUACUCCAGCAUAGAGCGAUAAUGUCUCAAAUUCUAGAGUAAUCUUAAUAUCUCGUUCUGAACACUUAUGUCAUUUGAGUAUCAAAUAAAUCUCAGUUGUAACCUAAAAGCAACAACCAUAAAUUCCAGCUUUGUUUCUUUGAUACUAUGUUGUAGAUUAGUUUUAUGGAGUUACAACCAACAAAUCAGAAGUAGAAAGAUUCAAAAAAUGACGAAGAAACAAUAAUAAUUCAACGAUGAUAGAUAAACAAAAUUGAUUGUCCUUGUAAUAUUGCAUAGAUCAGAGAGCUAUUGUUGAAAUGUGAGACCCGUUUGGCCAUAGAUCACUUUUGACACGGAACCAACCCCCAGAGGAAACAGAGGGACAACAACACAAAACUGCAGCACAUCCCUAUUUUUAUUUCUAAAGCAAGAAAGAACAACGACACUGCCACUCUUCAAUUAAUUUCUAAAUCAAUUCCCAAAUAGAAUUUCAGUGCACCUUUAUCAUCUCUCAACGCAAUUCUAAUGUGCAAAGUCGCCCAAACCUGUAGAAGUAAGAGGUUCUUACUCCCAUGUAGUCUAAAUACUUUUUUUCUUACUAUUUUCUUCAAUCCUUUAUCUUCUUUUUUAUAACAAGAAUAAGUACAACUAUAGAUUUGUUGCCUAACAUAAACUUUUCCUAAGCAUUCAUCCCACAAAUCAAAGUAGGCAAAUAACUUUAAGCUUUUCCUAAUCAUGUAUAUUCCAAUCAAUCAACCUCCAUUCCAUACAUCAUCCUAUUUCUUUGGAUGCUGUCAUAGCCAAAAAGAAGUGACAAAAUAAGACGGUAAACUUUCCUCUUCCAUUGUUAUCUUCGAGAAAUAGAGUAAGACAGUGGACACAUAGAAGGUUUGAAGAUGAAAUUUCAUAAAGAUACCCCACGCCCUAGAUCACUUUCAGCAUUCUAAAGAUGCCAAGUGAAUGUAGAAAUUUGAAAGUUCUAAAAGAUGGAUAUAUAUUCUUUGUUCCGAGUUGGCGAUUUUGGUGUUAUAGAUGUAGUUUAUUGUAAGGUCUGUAAUGUUAUUUGAAAAGUGUUCAUGACGGCUAGUAAGAUGAUAAAGCCCAUAAUACUGUAUGUAAUACCCGAAAGAAUUGUACUCUAGCUAGUUUGUUGAACAUACCAUCACAAUCUCGGUGUUGUUUGUAAUUAGAAAAUUUACCUUUUUAAUCAAAAGCAAUAUAAGGAGAAAAUAUGGUCAAAGUAUAGAAUCAGAUAUGCUGAGCACAUUUUUCCUGAAAUAAAAAGAACUCAAUUUAGUAAAAAUUUUGAUUCAUAUCUUCUCAAGCUCAACCUGAGACUAUACUUUCCUAAAGUCGGAAUAGGAUCGUUCUCCACUUCACGAGAUUUUAAAAAGAACAACUUAAUUUUGUAAAUACUUCAUUAAUCAUUUUUCCCAAAUAAAGUUUUUAAACAUAUAAAAUCUCUAUAAGAAGACAAAAGUGAAAGAACACAAGUAUUUUUCUUGGCUGUACAUUAAAAAUAAAAAGAAUGCAUUUGAAACAUUAGUUUGCUAAUUUCAGUACUGUUGAAGAAGCCUUGUAAAACAUUAAAUUCGGAUAGCCUAACAUACAAUUAUUUCUUGUUAGCUAAGAAGUCCUUUAAAGUAUGCAUCAACUACCGUCAACAGUCAGAUAAAUAUUACUUCUCAUUUAAUUCUAUCCUCUCAUGUCUACAGCAGUUUAGAAAAUCCACAAAAUUGUUUAGAUCCUGGGGCCAUCUUACAAUUACACCAAGAAUACACAAACUGCAAUGACUUGAAUUGAAUACAUGCUAAGGCCCAAUAAGUAUUUUGAAAAAAACUAUAGUUUCUUUCCACAUUGUGCAAAAAAAGCACGAAGGAACUUAUUACUGGAUGUCUUUGUGAAUGUAAUAGAAAAUCUCAUGAAUUAAGCAUAAAAAACCUUUUGUUCUUGGGGAUAAUUGCAUUUUUAAUGAGUUACUAAUAUUGAAAAGGGGAAGUAAGUAAAAGUAAACCAAAAUGUGCAGAACUUACCUGGUACAAGUGAAGCAAUAUUCCUUUCCCCACUUUCAGUUAACAACUUCCUUUAAGAAAAAUCUGAAAAAUCAAUAUUUUGGGACCAUUAUAUUCCUACUAAAUGAAUACAAAAAUAUUCGGUAAUAUCAAAAGUUCAUAUUUCAAACAAAACCCAAGUAAGCGAUACACUAUUCAGUUUAAUAGAGUCUCGUCAAAAAAUAAUAAAAUAGGAGUAAUAAUUUUGAAAAAGAAGAAGAUAAACCCAAUUAAAGAACAUUGUGUGAGAAAAAUAUUGUGCAUGAGUAAAUCAAACAUAUCUACUGACAUGUAUGUAUAACAUUCAAUAAAAUACUGCCCAAAAGUUCAAGAUGCCCAAAAAAUUAUAUUAAAAACAGGAUCCAAACACAUGCAUAGCCGAGAAAACAGAGGAAGAUGCAAAGAAGGUGUCCAAUUCCCUGCUUCUUAGUAGGAGAAACUGAUAGAUAAGUCACCAAAGAAACCCCAAAUUUUCCAUCUUUCAAUUUUCUUUUUCAAACUUUCAGUUCAUACACUUUGAAAACCUAAAUAGACACAAUUCAAUAAUGUAGCCACAUAAGACUCACCAAUCCUUGUAACAUUAAAAAAAUUAGAAAUGGUAAAAGAUAAAAGAUAAAAGAUAUUCUCCAUCUUCAUAAUAGCCAAAGGUAACACAUAAAU
RNAcentral lists this long non-coding RNA (5465 nucleotides) under Nicotiana tabacum (common tobacco). Its description in RNAcentral is "long non-coding RNA (NTAB_LNC000839)". The record is from RNAcentral. Lineage: Eukaryota; Viridiplantae; Streptophyta; Magnoliopsida; Solanales; Solanaceae.